UGACCUCGGAUCAGGUCG
This 18-nucleotide ribosomal RNA is filed under the name Paraconiothyrium brasiliense. RNAcentral describes it as "partial 28S ribosomal RNA". Lineage: Eukaryota; Fungi; Ascomycota; Dothideomycetes; Pleosporales; Didymosphaeriaceae. The record is from RNAcentral.